GUCUUCCCCCCAGACAAAUAGAGCACAACCAUUUGGUGAAGGCAAUUCUCGACUCCUGAAAACAGGUCCCGGCGAAUAAUUGCUUCAAACAAAUGAUCUGUUGAAGGUCCAUUAGUCCAGCGUCUUGCUUGGCUAAUAGUGUUCAGUGAUAUCAGAGAUUGCUGGAAGGGAUCAUGCCAUGGAACAGAUGGGGCCAUCCUCUCACAGCUGUAAAUGAGAUUUCAGAAUGGACCCUGAGUCUUCAUCUUUACCUGAGCACUCAUGACAAAAAAAAGAGAACGAUUCUAACCUCUGCGGCUAUGUCACGCUUCACAAAACCGUAGCCAAUUACUCUUCCACUGCUGGGGAUCCCGAUUGCAUUCAAGGAGGGUAUAUUUGCCUGGUUCAUGCCCCUUUUGAUGCAUGCACAGUCCCCGACUGCCUUCUUUUUCGCCUGUGCUUUGUUGGAUUCGCACAUGAGGCUCAUCCACUUUUGCACAGACACCCCGGUCUGCUAACCAGAGUUCUUGCUAGGGCUGGCACUCCGAUAUUGGCCCAAAUCACUGGAUCGGAUAUCGGAAUUAAGGAAAAAAACGUGUAAUCCGAUCCGAUACUGUUGCUUAAUGUAAAUAACACAAUAUCAUUAACAUGUGGCACUGAUCUACAACUCAUCUGCAACAGCCAUUCAGAAAUUAAAACACACUGAUCUACUACUACUGCUACUGCCACAUCUAAAAACACUGUUUAAACACAAUAAAAAUCACUUUAUAAAUGAUAAAUCGCUAAUCUGAGAUGAAGAAAACCUAUCUUGUCCCGGCUUGGAGAUAUCUCACAUCCUCAACGAUUAAUCCAGUAGUGUUUUGAAAUAAUUUAAUAAUUUUAAAAUGUGACAGAACUUUAACGGAAAAUCUCAUCUCUGAAUCAGUUCUAAUCGGUCCAUCACGUUUGAUUGCUUAAACGCAAGUGAAACCAAAAA
Molecule: long non-coding RNA, 955 nt
Organism: Trichomycterus rosablanca
Lineage: Eukaryota; Metazoa; Chordata; Actinopteri; Siluriformes; Trichomycteridae
Exons: 3
Source: RefSeq, a predicted model, not a curated record